UUUUACAAUGGAGAGUUUGAUCCUGGCUCAGGAUGAACGCUAGCGGCAGGCCUAAUACAUGCAAGUCGAACGGUGGUA
Molecule: ribosomal RNA, 78 nt
Filed under: Hymenobacter sp.
Lineage: Bacteria; Pseudomonadati; Bacteroidota; Cytophagia; Cytophagales; Hymenobacteraceae
Description: partial 16S ribosomal RNA
Rfam family: Bacterial small subunit ribosomal RNA
Source: RNAcentral